GAUGAACGCUGGCGGCGUGCCUAAUACAUGCAAGUCGAGCGAAUGGAUUAAGAGCUUGCUCUUAUGAAGUUAGCGGCGGACGGGUGAGUAACACGUGGGUAACCUGCCCAUAAGACUGGGAUAACUCCGGGAAACCGGGGCUAAUACCGGAUAACAUUUUGAACCGCAUGGUUCGAAAUUGAAAGGCGGCUUCGGCUGUCACUUAUGGAUGGACCCGCGUCGCAUUAGCUAGUUGGUGAGGUAACGGCUCACCAAGGCAACGAUGCGUAGCCGAACGGAGAGGGUGAUCGGCCACACUGGGACUGAGGAACGGCCCAGCCUACUACGGGAGGCAGCAGUAGGGAAUCUUCCGCAAUGGACGAAAGUCUGACGGAGCAACGCCGCGUGAGUGAUGAAGGCUUUCGGGUCGUAAAACUCUGUUGUUAGGGAAGAACAAGUGCUAGUUGAAUAAGCUGGCACCUUGACGGUACCUAACCAGAAAGCCACGGCUAACUACGUGCCAGCAGCCGCGGUAA
RNAcentral lists this ribosomal RNA (515 nucleotides) under uncultured bacterium. RNAcentral's name for it is "partial 16S ribosomal RNA". It matches the Rfam family "Bacterial small subunit ribosomal RNA", at positions 28 to 523 of the family's 1533-position model. The record is from RNAcentral.